Oncorhynchus tshawytscha (Chinook salmon) is the source of this 475-nucleotide long non-coding RNA. The record is from Ensembl. NCBI's taxonomy places the organism in Eukaryota, Metazoa, Chordata, Actinopteri, Salmoniformes, Salmonidae.
GUUAUCGAGUACACAGCAGGAAGUUUUGAGAGAGAGAAAAUGGACCAUCCUUUCAAAACGUGCUGCUAUUGAAUACAGAUCGCCCCGUGAUCAAUUUGAUCGAUUAUUAACGUUUACUAAUACCUAAAGUUGGAUUACAAAAGUAGUUUGAAGUGUUUUGUCAAAGUUUAUAGGCAACUUUUUUUAUUUAAAAAAAUGACGUUGCGUUUUGGAACGGUGCUUUUUCAUGGAUCAGACAGGCUUCAUAAAUGGACAUUUUGGGUAUACAUGGACGGAUUUAAUCGAAAAAAAGACCCAAUUGUGAUGUUUAUGGGACAUAUAGGAGUGCCAACAAAGAAGCUCGUCAAAGAGCAUACAACCAUUCCGACAACCAUCCAUGAAGAUCAGUGGACAAAGGGCUGGACAAUGGGCCACACCGAAAAAACUCAUGGUUGCCAAGUAAGCGAAUUCUGCGACACCAUGCAAGCUGUGCUGC